AUGGGCAGGAUCCGGAUGGAGGGGAGAAGUCCCGCUUGGAGAAAUAGCUCCUUGAGAUCACCUUGUUCAUGGGCGGGGGGGGGGGCGCUCCCGCAAUCCCAAGAGAGGAGCCGGAGGCUGGAUCCCUUCAGGAGCAGCUCAGUCCUCGGAAAGAAGCGGCCGAGGCCCGACACAAAGAGAGACCGGCUUCCCCGUGGGGCGCUUCCCUGCCUCCCCCUCUCCCCCUUCUUGCCAUCUAACCAAGUACCUCGCGACGUUUCCCAAGCCAGACCAGGCCGCUUCGCUCCCGCUGCCCCUAACCCCCCCCCCCAAUAUAGCCAAGCUCUUUACUAUCCUUCUCUGUGUGUGGCUGCUGGGGGGGGGGCAGAGAUAGUGUCCCUUCCUAUUCACCGUAAAUGCCGCCGCUUCGGUUUCCUUUCUCUCCAGGGGCGAGUCGAGGAGCACCGGACGGCGCCAGGAAGGCCCGGAGCCGAGAAAGAGAUCCCCGUCGCGGAAAGAGCGUUUCGGCUGUGGAGAAGUGCCAGCCUGGGACCGCGCAAAAACAUAUUCCUCGGGGUGAAGGAGAGACCCACUCACACGCGCAAAGUGUCCCUUCCCGGCCCCCUCCGCCUUUGUUCCCGCUGGGCCCUCGCCUUCCCGCCCGGCGCGGAUCUUGCCUCGGUCUCCCGAGACCAGCUUUGGGCUAACGGCUUCGGCCGCGUCCUCCACGGCUGGCCUGGCGCGGCUCUCCCGGCUCCGCUCUCCGCCUCGGCACUGAUCCCGCGGGCGUCGGGCGCCUCUCAGUUCUGUCUAAUAGUCCCCCCCCCUCCCCGCGGCAUCCCUUCGCAAAGGUUCCUUCUUUCUGAACCCAAAAUGUGGGCUCGAGGGACGAAGUUCAAGGCUGUCCAAAAGCGCAAGAGCCUGGAGCUGCCGGUCUCUCUCUUCCCGGUCCCCCCCUUCCAGAAAAGCACCUGCGGGUCCCUAAAGGGACAGCUCAGCCCGAGGGGGACCCCGAGGGGGCGGGCUGGCCUCACCAAUCUCGCGGCAGCCUCGGGAUUCCGAGCAAAAUGGUGGGGGGCGCGCACUCAGGAAGGGUCCCCACGCAGAGAACGGGAUUCCUUCGGGGAUUCCAUCCAGCUCGGAGCGCGUCUGCUCCAGAACCGAAGGAGAGGCGUCGGGGGCCGGGAAAGGAAGAAGGGCAGAGCCGCCCUGUGGGAGGGCCGCGGAAGGAACGCGUGCCUUCCGCGGGCCGUUGAGGCCCUUUGA
RNAcentral lists this long non-coding RNA (1245 nucleotides) under Podarcis muralis (Common wall lizard). Its description in RNAcentral is "lncRNA (ENSPMRG00000016179.1)". Lineage: Eukaryota; Metazoa; Chordata; Lepidosauria; Squamata; Lacertidae. The record is from RNAcentral.